CAACCUGGCCCCGAGACCGCUGCAGGGCUGCGGGAUUGGGGCGAAGCUGUGUGUGGCGGGGCGGCAGCCAUUCCCCCCCUCUGCGUAUCUGCGGCCCCGCCGGCCCGCUCCGAACGGAACUGUUCCAACGCCGCCGGUGCCCAGCCCUGUGGAGGACAGGGGCUGGGGGCAGGCAGGCGGUGCCAGUACGGCCCGCAAAGGAUCCUUCCUCCUUCCUUCCUCCCAAAAGGGAAUUUUAAAUAAUCGGUGAUAUUAUCUUAGGCAACACAAAUGGUUAAAGAGAAGUAGGAGCGAGGCACGGCUUCGGUGUCUGCUUAGCUGCAAACGUGAUCUGUAUUCGUCAUGCUUGGAAGCCCCAGCCCAUCUCUGCACCGCCACCAGGACCCAUUACUCGGCUCGGGAGACAGACGUGGUAGCUCCCCAGGGCCUGGGGGAGGAUGGAGGCUUACCUACGGGUGCCUGUGGUUCAA
Fukomys damarensis (Damara mole-rat) is the source of this 470-nucleotide long non-coding RNA. RefSeq lists it as uncharacterized. The record is from RefSeq and is a predicted model, not a curated record. NCBI's taxonomy places the organism in Eukaryota, Metazoa, Chordata, Mammalia, Rodentia, Bathyergidae. The transcript is spliced from 3 exons.